Molecule: ribosomal RNA, 440 nt
Filed under: uncultured bacterium
Lineage: Bacteria
Description: bacterial SSU rRNA
Rfam family: Bacterial small subunit ribosomal RNA
Source: RNAcentral
CCUACGGGUUGCAGCAGUGGGGAAUAUUGGACAAUGGGCGCAAGCCUGAUCCAGCCAUGCUGCGUGAGUGAAGAAGGCCUUAGGGUUGUAAAGCUCUUUCACCGGUGAAGAUGAUGACGGUAACCGGAGAAGAAGCCCCGGCCAACUUCGUGCCAGCAGCCGCGGUAAUACGAAGGGGGCUAGCGUUGUUCGGAAUUACUGGGCGUAAAGCGCGCGUAGGCGGAUAGAUAAGUCAGAGGUGAAAUCCCGGGGCUCAACCCCGGAAUUGCCUUUGAUACUGUUUAUCUUGAGUGCAGAAGAGGUAAGUGGAAUUCUGAGUGUAGAGGUGAAAUUCGUAGAUAUUCGGAGGAACACCAGUGGCGAAGGCGGCUUACUGGUCUGCAACUGACGCUGAGGCGCGAAAGCGUGGGGAGCAAACAGGAUUAGAUACCCGCGUAGUC